UAUCCUCAAUGUCCCUGUCUGACAGAC
RNAcentral lists this non-coding RNA (27 nucleotides) under Rattus norvegicus (Norway rat). Lineage: Eukaryota; Metazoa; Chordata; Mammalia; Rodentia; Muridae. The record is from RNAcentral.